GCUGGGCAUGGUGGCACGUGCCUGUAGUCCCAGCUACCUGGGAGGCUGAGGUGGGAGGAUCACUUGAGUCCAGGAAGUCUAGAAUGCCGUGAGCCUUGAUUAUAACACUGCAUUCCAGCCUGGGUGACAGAGUGAGACUCUGUCUCAC
This is an unclassified non-coding RNA of Macaca fascicularis (crab-eating macaque), 148 nucleotides long. It matches the Rfam family "Metazoan signal recognition particle RNA". Rfam says of the family: The signal recognition particle (SRP) is a universally conserved ribonucleoprotein. It is involved in the co-translational targeting of proteins to membranes. The eukaryotic SRP consists of a 300-nucleotide 7S RNA and six proteins: SRPs 72, 68, 54, 19, 14, and 9. NCBI's taxonomy places the organism in Eukaryota, Metazoa, Chordata, Mammalia, Primates, Cercopithecidae. The record is from Ensembl.